Molecule: ribosomal RNA, 99 nt
Filed under: Vairimorpha bombi
Lineage: Eukaryota; Fungi; Microsporidia; Nosematidae
Description: Nosema bombi partial 18S small subunit ribosomal RNA
Source: RNAcentral
CCCAUGCAUGUUUUUGAAGAUUAUUAUCUGAAAAAUGGACUGCUCAGUAAUACUCACUUUAUUUUAUGUGCACCGCAGAUAACUACGUUAAAGUGUAGA